UUCUUUCCCACCGGCCAGGCACUCCUGUCUGCUCUCAGCUGGUGUUCUGCAUGCACGUCUGUGUCUGAAGCUGUAUUCUUGCCGUAUCCGUGGAGAGAGGGGUACUCCACCUCCACCUACUCCUCCGCCAUCUGUUUCUCCCCAUAUAAAUAUUCUUAUUUACUUGUUUUCCUGUGGUGUGGUCUUCCAGAUUCUGACUUGUAUCAUUUUCCUUCUCCCUGAAGAACUUAUUUUGACAUUUCUGGCAAGACAAGUCUGCUGGCAACAGAUUCCCCUCAUUUUUGUCUAAAAAAAUGUGUAUUUCUCCUUCAUUUUUGAAGAACAAUUUUGGAGGAUGCAAAAUUCCAGAAGACAAAGCAAAGUUUGGAAAUAUGGAUAUGACCACUAACGAACAUAAAAGGGCAAAAUGUUGGGAAACAUGCAUCUAGAAAUAUGUUUGCAUUCAUCAGCCACCAACUUGGAAUGUCAAACAGAGUCAAAUAGAUCGAGGAGAUAGAAGUAAGUGUGAAAAACAAGACAAAGGUGCACACAAGAAUCAGAAUAUUCUGGGUAGCCUUUUUCUCUGGAGAGAGCCUGGAGAUGUACCUAGAGCUGUGAAUAUAUUUGACUUGCUGUCUGUGGGUAUAGAGAUAAAGCAUCAUGGAACUACUGGUCCAGACCAAGAGCCCCACACACAUCAUGUCAAUGAAGGCAUGAAUGAGAGCAUAGAGUGAGGAGUUGAUGGGAUGACGAGGAGAACUAGAACAGUAUCCAAAAUAGCUCAGAGUGAUGUUUCUUAUCCUCUUUGGGCCAGUCACUUUCAGAGGAACCAGACUGUUUCCCAGAAAAAGCACCACCCAGCAAAGGAAACACAAAGACCCAAUAUACUGUGGGACUCUGGCUUUGACUUUAGCCCACCUGGAUUUACUGGGGAUGAUUGUGAUGGCCUGGAAGAUACUCAGGAGGCAAGUGGAAGAGAGACAAACUUCCCGGGCCACUCUGUGAAUAUAAAACAAAAAUUUACAUCCAUGAUCUUCCAGAAAAUUGUUCCACCCAAAAGAUACCAUUGUCUGGGGGAUCCCCCUAGAGAGAAGGACUAAAGUGUUGGCUAAGAAUAUAUGUUUGAGUAUGUGGUCUGAAGGUCUCACCCUGUCUCCAGCAUGAGAAGUGAAAAUAGAAAGAAAAAAGAAUAAAAAAUUCCCCAAAAGUCCAAUGCCAGUCUGAGACAAGAAGAAAAUCCCCAAUAUCAAGUCAAUAUAACCCAUUCCGUCAGUGACUGGGAAUGGCAAUUCUAUGCAUACUCAGAGUUAUCUUUAGAGAAAACAAAAGAUUGCCGCCAGUUACAUUGCAAAUGAAAUCCAAUGCUUAUCCCAACUCCAAAAUCUUUAAGAAUAAUACACUAUUUAAUAUCUGCAUAUUCUACCCAUGCCAACUCUUCCCGAUAGAGGAAUAUAUCAUAAAUCAUAUUUACAACGCAGUGCCUGCAUGCUAAGUUGCUUCACUCGUGUCUGAC
Long non-coding RNA from Odocoileus virginianus texanus, 1492 nucleotides. RefSeq lists it as uncharacterized. Lineage: Eukaryota; Metazoa; Chordata; Mammalia; Artiodactyla; Cervidae. The record is from RefSeq and is a predicted model, not a curated record.